GCAGCAAAAUGUGCCUUCAGUCAUCAGUAAGUGCUGUUACACAGUAAGAAGCACUCUGUGUUCAACUACUGAGCAUCAACUGACUCUACUUGGACUCUUAUUUUACUGUACACUCACUAACAGACACACAAAAUGGCGGACAGAUAUUGGCCUGUAUUUAAAAACGGUUGUUUGAGCUGCUUCGUCCCGAGUUUCCAGCAGAGAAAUGAACAAUGGAGGCAGAUUGUUGCUGUUUCUAGUGGAAAUAAACUAACGACAGCUUGUGUUAACGAGGAAAACAUUAAACACUUGUUCCAUUACCUUCAGCUGGAGGUUGAGACGGAGAAAACCAACUGCGACACUCCUUCAGAGAAAGUGAAAGUAAACUAUAAACAGGCAGUAGGAGGAGACAGUGAAACUUAUGGAACAGAUUCUUUAAGUCUAUAAUGAGAUACUUUCUCAAAAUAAUGACUUCGUAUUUCAAUAUUUUGACUUAGUAUCUCAAUAUAAUGAGAAGCCUAAAUUAGAAUAAGCCUGUGUUCCUCAUAUGCUCCAAGCAAUAGAAGAUGGAUGCACCAGAAAUGUUGGAUGGCCGGGAUACUUACCAUUAUGUAAUUUCUGGUGCAUCCAUCUGUAGCCACGCUGUCUGUCAGACAUUUCUAACUGCUGGUCAAUGAAGGAUGCUACUUCAGCUACAUCUGUCUUAUUCCGUCUCCGUCAGUGCAGAUUCUUUUGUAGCUUUCUCUCUAGGGUCCGGAGAUUUAGUUUGAUAUUAUGUAAUUCCUCCAAUUCCUAUUUUGAGAAAGUUUCUCAUUAUAAUCACAUAAAUAAUCAUUUUUCCCGUCAUAUUGGCAGAAAUGGGCUUCCAUAGUAAACUUCACUUCAAACAGGGAACACAAUGUGUGUGUGUGUGUGUGUGUGUGUGUGUGUGUGUGUGAUAACGUGUAAUGUAACAUGUGAAGAUAAAAUACAUGUUGAUGUUUUAUUAAGAUGUUUAUUUGUAGUUCCUUUGCUUCCAGAAAGCAGCUUUAGUGAGUUUUUUAAAACCCACUUUAACUGUUAAUUAUUGUGGUAACUUUGUUUAAAAAAUUAUGAUCUGUUUGUAUAAAACAAAACUAAAAUAAGUGAAACAUCAUUUGUACAUUUUGAAAUGCUAAAGAGACUAAAAUCAGUCAUUUCUAACUGUACGUAUAAACAAGUAAACAAAUAAGCACAGAGUUUUAUAAAUUCAGGUUAAAAAUGAUUAAAAAUAUAAAUACAAAUAAGUAUUUUUACAACAUAUUUCUUUCUGUAAAUACUUUCUGCUCAAUGUGGGAAUUAUGUAUGAAUAAAGUGAUACAACAACA
Long non-coding RNA from Dicentrarchus labrax (European seabass), 1325 nucleotides. RefSeq lists it as uncharacterized. The transcript is spliced from 2 exons. Lineage: Eukaryota; Metazoa; Chordata; Actinopteri; Moronidae. The record is from RefSeq and is a predicted model, not a curated record.